GAGAAAGAUGGAGGAGGAGGUGAGAAAGAUGAAGGAGGUGAGAAAGAUGAUGGAGGCAGUGAGAAGAUGAUGGAGGUGGUGAGAAAGAUGGAGGAGGAGGUGAGAAAGAUGAAGGAGGUGAGAAAGAUGGAGGAGGAGGAGAGAAAGAUGAAGGAAGAGGAGAGAAAGAUGGAGGAGGAGGUGAGAAAGAUGAAGGUGGUGAGAAAGAUGGAGGAGGAGGUGAGAAAGAUGAAGGAGGUGAGAAAGAUGAUGGAGGCAGUGAGAAGAUGAUGGAGGUGGUGAGAAAGAUGGAGGAGGAGGAGAGAGAGAUUGAUGAGGUGAGAAAGAUGGAGGAGGAGGUGAGAAAGAUGAAGGAGGUGAGGAAGAUGGAGGAGGUGAGAAAGAUGGAGGAGGAGAAAAGAUGAGGAGGCGGAGAGAAAGACGGAGGAGGAGGAGAGAAAGAUGAAGGAGGUGGUGAGAAAGAUGGAGGAGGUCAGAAAGAUGGAGGAGGAGAUAAAUAUGGAGGAGGCGGUGAGAAAGAUGGAGGAGAUGGAGGUGAUAAAGAUGGAGGAGGAGAAAAAGACGGAGGAGGAGGAGAGAAAGACAGAGGAGGUGGUGAGAAAGAUGGAGGAGAAAGAUCAGGCCCUACUGUCUGGAGGAUGAGCGGAGCAGGCCCUACUGUCGGGAGGAGGAUUGGAGCAGGCCCUACUGUCGGGAGGAGAAGCGGAGCAGGCCCUACUGUCUGGAGGUGGAGCGGAGCAGGCCCUACUGUCUGGAGGAGGAGCGGAGCAUGCCCUACUGUCUGGAGGAGGAGCGGAGCAGGCCCUACUGUCUGGAGGAGGAGCGGAGCAGGCCCUACUGUCUGGAGGUGGAGCGGAGCAGGCCCUACUGUCUGGAAGAGGAGGGGAGCAGGCCCUACUGUCUGGAGGAGGAGCGGAGCAUGCCCUACUGUCUGGAGGAGGAGCGGAGCAGGCCCUACUGUCUGGAGGAUGAGCGGAGCAGGCCCUACUGUCUGGAGGAGGAGAGGAGCAGGCCCUACUCUCUGGAGGAGGAGCGGAGCAGGCCCUAAUGUCUGGAGGAGGAGGGGAGCAGGCCCUACUGUCUGGAGGAGGAGCGGAGCAGGCCCUACUGUCUGGAGGAUGAGCGGAGCAGGCCCUACUGUCUGGAGGAUGAGCGGAGCAGGCCCUAAUGUCUGGAGGAGGAGAGGAGCAGGCCCUACUGUCUGGAGGAGGAGAGGAGCAGGCCCUACAGUCGGGAGGAAAAUACAUUUAAAUAAAUAAUAUGCCCUCCUAAAACUGAUUAUAACUCCAGUUCUGUUUGUGAUGUGAAUAUUCUUACACCGACAGUGUGUUCGAUAGACUCAUUUAGGACUUGUCAAGGACGGUGGGGCUGCAAAAAAUAAAUGAUGAGCUGUCAAAAAUGACUGCUUUAGUGGUUCUAGCGGUAAAAAGUGUAGUAACAGCUCGACUUUAGAUCAUUAGAAAGCAUUCGGCAAAAUACACCUGAAUGGAUUUCUGCAAAUAUGUCGAUACCGCGGGAGUUUUCUUACAUUUGGGAUCUUUACAGUCCUAUUGAUCAAACAAAGUGAACAGUUAGGUUGUUUGCCUAUGUACUUGCCUGCCUGAGCACCAAUUUGAUCGAUGCCAAAAAAAACAUUUGAUUGACAACUAAGAAAUAUGCUAACUGUGGAUAACAGUCAUUCAAGUUUUCAUUAUAGCUUGCUAACAAAAGUGAUUGACAUUUCUUGCUAGCUAACCAAAUGACACCUGCAUCUCUAGCUGUAGCCACUGAAAAUAAAAACGAUACGGGGGGAAAAAGUCGGCCACUCACCCACUCGUCCAAUGACAUGACAUCCUCCCAGCAGCUAGCUAGCUAGCUAGCAUUAGGCUCUAUAUUUAGGCGUGCUAAAUAGCUACAUAAAUAGAUACGCUAGCCUAUUAGCCUAUUAGCCUAUUAGCCUAUUAGCCACGUUAUGACUGACUUGUUAGCGUUAGCCUCUCUGGUUUGAUUGUACUUCACAUUGCUAAACAUUAGCUACAGUCGUCCUGAAACUGUGCAUCCCGAAUGGCUGGAGGCAGUAAACAAUGUCCCAGGCCAGCGG
This 2080-nucleotide long non-coding RNA is filed under the name Salmo salar (Atlantic salmon). Its description in RNAcentral is "lncRNA (ENSSSAG00000097917.1)". Lineage: Eukaryota; Metazoa; Chordata; Actinopteri; Salmoniformes; Salmonidae. The record is from RNAcentral.